GAUGAACGCUAGCGGCAGGCCUAACACAUGCAAGUCGAGGGGCAUCAUGGCGUAGCAAUACGCUGAUGGCGACCGGCGCACGGGUGCGUAACGCGUAUGGAACCUACCCACCGCAGGGGGAUAACCCGCCGAAAGGCGGACUAAUACCCCAUGGUUCCCCGACCCUGCCUGGGGUUGGGGGUAAAGCCUACGGGCGGCGGUGGAUGGCCCUGCGUGCCAUUAGCUGGCUGGUGGGGUAACGGCUUACCAAGGCUACGAUGGCUAGGGGGUCUGAGAGGAUGAUCCCCCACACUGGAACUGAGACACGGUCCAGACUCCUACGGGAGGCAGCAGUGAGGAAUAUUGGUCAAUGGGGGCAACCCUGAACCAGCCAUGCCGCGUGAAGGAUGAAGGCCUUAUGGGUUGUAAACUUCUUUUGUACGGGGCGAACUGUUUUUACGCGUAAAGACUUGACAGUACCGUACGAAUAAGCAUCGGCUAACUCCGUG
This 488-nucleotide ribosomal RNA is filed under the name uncultured bacterium. RNAcentral describes it as "bacterial SSU rRNA". It matches the Rfam family "Bacterial small subunit ribosomal RNA", at positions 28 to 507 of the family's 1533-position model. The record is from RNAcentral.